GACGUAGGAUGCAAGCGUUGUCCGGAUUUAUUGGGCGUAAAGAGUUCGUAGGCGGUUUACUAAGUCUGAUGUUAAAGAUCGGGGCUCAACCCUGAGAGUGCAUUGGAUACUGGUAGGCUUGAGUGUGGUAGAGGCUAGUGGAAUUCCCAGUGUAGCGGUGAAAUGCGUAGAUAUUGGGAAGAACACCAGUGGCGUAGGCGACUAGCUGGGCCAUAACUGACGCUGAGGAACGAAAGCCAGGGGAGCGAAUGGG
This 253-nucleotide ribosomal RNA is filed under the name uncultured bacterium. RNAcentral's name for it is "partial 16S ribosomal RNA". It matches the Rfam family "Bacterial small subunit ribosomal RNA", at positions 524 to 776 of the family's 1533-position model. The record is from RNAcentral.